AGAGGAGAACUACACAUGUAAACUUCUAGCAUUUGUCACCAAUAUGAGUACAUCGCAAUCCGUUACUGUUUCAAAACUCAGGGGUUUCAUGUCUGUAUUCUUAAAAAAAAUAUUAUUUGUUCACUCUUUUUUAGCAAUGCAUUAGUUUCUACUGUUCUUAUCUAUUAUUCUAUAGUCUGCGUCUCCAUCCAGAUUCUCGUGUAUACCACGAGGGUCCAGAUCGGGGUGUUGUUUAUUUCUGUGCUAUUUAAAUUGUUAUGUCACUUUUCUUUCAAUUUUAUUUAUCUUACUCAUUAUUCUUUCUCUAUUCUUUAUAUUUUAGCAUCACAAUAUAUUUUACUUACUGAUGUUGAGUUACAUUACGACGUUUAUCUCUGAUUUAUAUACUGGUUACCAAUGUAGAUGACAAAUUGGUGGCAUUCAUGACAAUUAAACAGAAUCCACAUGAUAUAUGCGACCAUUCUUGGAUGAAAUUAAUAUUACUACAAUAUUACACUUUUUGAAACCAUUUUUAUCAAUUUUCAUUUUCCAUUGUCUAAAUUGUUCAUGUGUUGUUUCCGUAUAUUUUAUGUUUCAUUGCCCAUAAGCUGUUUCCGUAUAUUUUAGCCGCUCGUCUUGAGCCUACCCAUUUGAUUCGAUCACAACCAAUAUGCAAUAAAAUUAUACUUUAUUGCCAUUCAUUACUCUUUAACAGACCAAUUAACAGACCGGGUUUUAUACAUCCGACCCAUUAACAGACCAGGUUUUAAAUAAAGAUUGAUUUAUGUUACAAAAAUAUAAAUUUUCGUGUAGAUUUUUCACACAAUGAUAUCAAUAUGGUUAACAAACAUAAUGCCUGUCUUUUUUCGAUGUUCAAAUUCUUACAUGCAAGUAAAUUCAACCAACGUGUCAUUUUGUGUACUUAAUGUGUGUGUAAAAU
Molecule: long non-coding RNA, 919 nt
Filed under: Mytilus galloprovincialis (Mediterranean mussel)
Lineage: Eukaryota; Metazoa; Mollusca; Bivalvia; Mytilida; Mytilidae
Source: RNAcentral